This 243-nucleotide ribosomal RNA is filed under the name uncultured Eubacteriales bacterium. RNAcentral describes it as "uncultured Clostridiales bacterium partial 16S ribosomal RNA". It matches the Rfam family "Bacterial small subunit ribosomal RNA", at positions 796 to 1041 of the family's 1533-position model. The record is from RNAcentral. Lineage: Bacteria; Bacillati; Bacillota; Clostridia; Eubacteriales.
CACGCCGUAAACGAUGAGUGCUAGGUGUUGGGGGUCAAACCUCGGUGCCGCAGUUAACACAUUAAGCACUCCGCCUGGGGAGUACGUGCGCAAGCAUGAAACUCAAAGGAAUUGACGGGGACCCGCACAAGCAGCGGAGCAUGUGGUUUAAUUCGAUGCAACGCGAAGAACCUUACCAGGGCUUGACAUCCUCGGACGACACUAGAGAUAGUGUUUUCUCUUCGGAGACUGAGAGACAGGUGG